CUACACGAAGCUGGAAUCGCUAGUAAUCGCGAAUCAGAAUGUCGCGGUGAAUACGUUCCCGGGUCUUGUACACACCGCCCGUCACACCAUGGGAGUCGGAAAUGCCCGAAGCCAGUGACCCAACCGUAUGGAGGGAGCUGUCGAAGGUGGAGCCGGUAACUGGGGUGAAGUCGUAACAAGGUAGCCGUAUCGGAAGGUGCGGCUGGAUCACCUCCUUU
RNAcentral lists this non-coding RNA (218 nucleotides) under Eubacteriaceae bacterium CHKCI004. Its description in RNAcentral is "Bacterial small subunit ribosomal RNA". It matches the Rfam family "Bacterial small subunit ribosomal RNA", at positions 1316 to 1533 of the family's 1533-position model. Lineage: Bacteria; Bacillati; Bacillota; Clostridia; Eubacteriales; Eubacteriaceae. The record is from Rfam by way of RNAcentral.